This 482-nucleotide ribosomal RNA is filed under the name uncultured bacterium. RNAcentral describes it as "partial 16S ribosomal RNA". It matches the Rfam family "Bacterial small subunit ribosomal RNA", at positions 30 to 507 of the family's 1533-position model. The record is from RNAcentral.
AUUGAACGCUGGCGGCAUGCUUUACACAUGCAAGUCGAACGGUAACAGGCCGCAAGGUGCUGACGAGUGGCGAACGGGUGAGUAAUGCAUCGGAACGUGCCCAGUCGUGGGGGAUAACUACUCGAAAGAGUAGCUAAUACCGCAUACGAUCUAUGGAUGAAAGCGGGGGACCGUAAGGCCUCGCGCGAUUGGAGCGGCCGAUGUCAGAUUAGGUAGUUGGUGGGGUAAAGGCUCACCAAGCCAACGAUCUGUAGCUGGUCUGAGAGGACGACCAGCCACACGGGGACUGAGACACGGCCCAGACUCCUACGGGAGGCAGCAGUGGGGAAUUUUGGACAAUGGGCGCAAGCCUGAUCCAGCAAUGCCGCGUGCAGGAAGAAGGCCUUCGGGUUGUAAACUGCUUUUGUACGGAACGAAACGGCUCUGGUUAAUACCCGGGGCUAAUGACGGUACCGUAAGAAUAAGCACCGGCUAACUACGUG